GACAACAUGGCCGAGUGGUUUAAGGCGCACGCCUGCUAAGCGUGUAUCUUCGGAUGCCCAGGUUCGAUCCCUGGUGUUGUCG
Molecule: transfer RNA, 82 nt
Organism: Talaromyces stipitatus ATCC 10500
Lineage: Eukaryota; Fungi; Ascomycota; Eurotiomycetes; Eurotiales; Trichocomaceae
Rfam family: tRNA
About the family: Transfer RNA (tRNA) molecules are approximately 80 nucleotides in length. Their secondary structure includes four short double-helical elements and three loops (D, anti-codon, and T loops).
Source: Rfam